RNAcentral lists this ribosomal RNA (253 nucleotides) under uncultured bacterium. RNAcentral's name for it is "partial 16S ribosomal RNA". It matches the Rfam family "Bacterial small subunit ribosomal RNA", at positions 524 to 776 of the family's 1533-position model. The record is from RNAcentral.
UACAGAGGUCCCAAGCGUUGUUCGGAUUCACUGGGCGUAAAGGGUGCGUAGGUGGCUUGGUAAGUUCGAUGUGAAAUCUCCGGGCUUAACCCGGAAAUGGCAUUGAAUACUAUUGAGCUGGAGGUUUGGAGGGGGGACUGGAAUUCUCGGUGUAGCGGUGAAAUGCGUAGAUAUCGAGAGGAACACCUGCGGCGAAGGCGGGUUGCUGGGCUGACACUGACGCUGAUGCGCGAAAGCCAGGGGAGCGAACGGG